RNAcentral lists this ribosomal RNA (301 nucleotides) under uncultured bacterium. RNAcentral describes it as "partial 16S ribosomal RNA". It matches the Rfam family "Bacterial small subunit ribosomal RNA", at positions 509 to 807 of the family's 1533-position model. The record is from RNAcentral.
CAGUCGCCGCGGGAAUACGUAGGUGGCAAGCGUUGUCCGGAAUUAUUGGGCGUAAAGGGCUCGCAGGCGGUUUCUUAAGUCUGAUGUGAAAGCCCCCGGCUCAACCGGGGAGGGUCAUUGGAAACUGGGAAACUUGAGUGCAGAAGAGGAGAGUGGAAUUCCACGUGUAGCGGUGAAAUGCGAAGAGAUGUGGAGGAACACCAGUGGCGAAGGCGACUCUCUGGUCUGUAACUGACGCUGAGGAGCGAAAGCGUGGGGAGCGAACAGGAUUAGAUACCCCAGUAGUCCCUGUCUCUUAUAC